GCCCAGCCUUGAUGUCUUAGUUCUCAUGGUCGGAAACGCUUUGUUUACAUGCAGCCCAGAGUCAGUGCUACAAAGAGGCGUGAAAGAAGGAUGCAGAUCACCAUAGCUCCCUCCGCAUCUACCAUGACUGUCCCACUGGGGCCUCCCAUUCAUUCAUUUAUUCAUCCGACGGAAGUUUAUGAAACAUUGGAUGUCCACCAGGCACGGAGCUGGGGACACGCCCGUCAAGCAGAUCCACCCGUCGUCGGGGAGCUUCUUCUUUGCAGAAGUUCCACCACCAGCAUCCUUCCUGGCUCGCCCUGGCUGAUAAAGUGCCCAUAACGAUGCUGCUGGGAAAGCCGGGUUUCUCCCCGUGCGCUCCAUUCCAAUCGAGUCGGUCUUCCACUGCGUGCUUUAAUACUGUUAGAAGCAAAUCAGAAUUAAUGAGAUUACCUCCUUUGAAAUGUUAUAUACAAUUAACCUCGAAUUAAGAACAAUAUGUAUUUGAAUUUGCCAAUCAGUAACACCUAGCGAUCGCUGAAAUCCACAGCAGCAAAUAGACAUUGACUCUAAUCUGCCAGUCCAACGCCUGGAGGAAAACAACUUUGAAGACCCACCGGUGAAGUCUUCACUGAGGCCAGGAAAGGGGUCACCCGACCUUCAUGCGUCCUCCUUGCUGUGGCGGCCACAAGUCCUGUUCCUGCUGUAUCUCCCAGAGGGUAGUGGGGAGGGGCUCGCUGUCUUCAGGGUGAGAAGAUAGUUCGGUCAAGGAAGAGGGUAUCCAGAGAAGGACUCGCCACAAUGACCAAUGCCCCAGAGUCCCCUUCAAGGGCAGCCAGCUCUGACCACCGUCUAGAACUACUGGCUGCUCCCAUUCCAUCAGCUUUUGCCUUCUUAGAACAGCCCCACUUCUUGGCUGCGUAGAACAGAGAUUUGCUGGGCUUCUGGCAACAACAUAGGUGAACAGCCACCAGAGGAUCCCCUGCUGCCCCCUUCAACGAGGAUGAAACAAUUCAUACUGAGCUCCAGUGGUCUGCACAACCCCAAAGAUUUAUGCUUCUCGUUGUAAGGAGGUAAAACGACUUUCAAAAACCA
This is a long non-coding RNA of Orcinus orca (killer whale), 1074 nucleotides long. RefSeq lists it as uncharacterized. The record is from RefSeq and is a predicted model, not a curated record. NCBI's taxonomy places the organism in Eukaryota, Metazoa, Chordata, Mammalia, Artiodactyla, Delphinidae. The transcript is spliced from 2 exons.